This 281-nucleotide long non-coding RNA is filed under the name Nicotiana benthamiana. Its description in RNAcentral is "long non-coding RNA (NBEN_LNC028654)". Lineage: Eukaryota; Viridiplantae; Streptophyta; Magnoliopsida; Solanales; Solanaceae. The record is from RNAcentral.
UUAUGUUUUCUGAUAAAACUUCUUGUCUUGAACAAUGAAGAAUAAUGAAUUGACGUUGCAUAGAAAUGCCAUUUGUAGUUUUCAGCAACACAUACCAUCCAGUAGAUACAAAAAAAUACGUUAUUCAGACAUAUUUUUCAACUGACUACGAUUAACUACAAGUAACUACAAUUAACUACAAAAUUCAUAUAACUACAAAAAUUUGACUACAUUUUAAAAACACACUGGAAACACUGCAUAUAACCUUAACUACAUUUACCUACAUUUGACUACAUUUUAAA